AACUUUCAACAACGGAUCUCUUGGCUCUCGCAUCGAUGAAGAACGCAGCGAAAUGCGAUAAGUAAUGUGAAUUGCAGAACUCAGUGAAUCAUCGAAUCUUUGAACGCACCUUGCGCCCUUUGGCUAUUCCGAAGGGCAUGCCUGUUUGAGUAUCAUGAACACCUCAACUCUCACGGUUUCUCGUGCUGAGCUUGGACCUGCGGGUCUUGUUGGCCUGUGGUCAGCUCUCCUCAAAUGAAUUAGCUUGCCGGUGUCUGGCGGCAUCAUGGGUGUGCUAACAAUAUCCGCUUGUGAUCGUCUGCGAGGUAAUCCUCUGGUCUGCAGAGGUUCGCCGGAGCUUAUAGAUGUCGCUCCUCAGUGAAGACAGCUGUUUGAAGUUUGAUCUCAAAUCAGGUAGGACUACCCGCUGAACUUAAGCAUAUCAAUAAGCGGAGGCU
Molecule: unclassified non-coding RNA, 437 nt
Filed under: uncultured Thelephoraceae
Lineage: Eukaryota; Fungi; Basidiomycota; Agaricomycetes; Thelephorales; Thelephoraceae
Description: sequence contains ITS2
Rfam family: 5.8S ribosomal RNA (bases 1-155)
Source: RNAcentral